This 780-nucleotide ribosomal RNA is filed under the name Triticum aestivum (bread wheat). Its description in RNAcentral is "partial small subunit ribosomal RNA". Lineage: Eukaryota; Viridiplantae; Streptophyta; Magnoliopsida; Poales; Poaceae. The record is from RNAcentral.
AUGGUGCCCAGGGACAUGGUGAAUGCCCCCGCCGAGAGGCUGCACGUCCAGGGGUCUGUCGUGAACAGGAAGUGCGAGAAGAAGGUGCCAAAGAAAAUCCAUAAGUCGGAGAGGGAGAAACGGAAGCGAGGCACACAGAAUGACCUCUUUAAUGAGUUGGGAGCCAUGCUAGAACCAGACAGGCAGAACAACGGGAAGGCAUGUGUAUUGGGUGACACUACACGGAUACUGAAGGAUUUAGUUUCACAAGUGGAAUCUCUUCGGAAGGAGAAUAGCACACUGAAGAAUGAAUCUCACUAUGUUGUGUUGGAGAGAAAUGAACUGCGUGAUGACAACAGCAUGCUUCGCAAUGAAAUCCUGGAGCUUCAGAACAAGCUUAGAGUGCGUCUGCAAAGCAACCCUAUUUGGAGCCAGGAUACUACAAGAUCAGCCGUUGCAGUACCUUAUCCCACAAGCGGAAUGUUCCCAGUACAACAUUCGCCACACUCACCAGUCAUCACCUCGACGGCACUUUCACUGCAACCUGUAAUCACUGAGCAAUGCUAUGCCGCCCCACCACGAGAGCUGCAGCUCUUCCCGGAAGCUUCAUCUGCAUCCACUGAAGACAGCGAACUGUCACAAGACCAGGGGAUUUCCAAUAAUGUGACACGGCCCCAGGCACGGUACCCAACACCAGCGGUGAUGUCGCCAGUAAACGAAUUCCCAAUCCUUCCAAGGAUGGGGGAGGAGCAACAAUAUAGUAGUGGCACUAGCGAGGAAGACGGUGUGCACAGGGUUUAA